RNAcentral lists this ribosomal RNA (431 nucleotides) under uncultured bacterium. RNAcentral describes it as "partial 16S ribosomal RNA". It matches the Rfam family "Bacterial small subunit ribosomal RNA", at positions 29 to 505 of the family's 1533-position model. The record is from RNAcentral.
AACGAACGCUGGCGGCAUGCCUAACACAUGCAAGUCGAACGAUACCUUCGGGUCUAGUGGCGCACGGGUGCGUAACGCGUGGGAACCUGCCCUUAGGUUCGGAAUAACUCCCCGAAAGGGGUGCUAAUACCGGAUAAUUUCUUCGGACCAAUGAUUUAUCGCCUUUGGAUGUGCCCGCGUUGGAUUAGCUAGUUGGUAGGGUAAAAGCCUACCAAGGCGACGAUCCAUAGCUGGUCUGAGAGGAUGAUCAGCCACACUGGGACUGAGACACGGCCCAGACUCCGACGAGAGGCAGCAGUGGGGAAUAGUGGACAAGGGGCGAAAGCCUGAGCCAGCAAUGCCGCGUGAGUGAUGAAGGGCUUAGGGUUGUAAAGCUCUUUUACCCGGGAUGAUAAUGACAGUACCGGGAGAAUAAGCUCCGGCUAACUCCG